Molecule: ribosomal RNA, 253 nt
Filed under: uncultured Rhodobacter sp.
Lineage: Bacteria; Pseudomonadati; Pseudomonadota; Alphaproteobacteria; Rhodobacterales
Description: partial 16S ribosomal RNA
Rfam family: Bacterial small subunit ribosomal RNA
Source: RNAcentral
UACGAAGGGUGCAAGCGUUAUUCGGAAUUACUGGGCGUAAAGCGCACGUAGGCGGAUCGGAAAGUCAGAGGUGAAAUCCCGGGGCUCAACCCCGGAACGGCCUUUGAAACUCCCGGUCUUGAGGUCGAGAGAGGUGAGUGGAAUUCCGAGUGUAGAGGUGAAAUUCGUAGAUAUUCGGAGGAACACCAGUGGCGAAGGCGGCUCACUGGCUCGAUACUGACGCUGAGGUGCGAAAGUGUGGGGAGCAAACAGG